Molecule: ribosomal RNA, 253 nt
Filed under: uncultured bacterium
Lineage: Bacteria
Description: partial 16S ribosomal RNA
Rfam family: Bacterial small subunit ribosomal RNA
Source: RNAcentral
UACGUAGGCAGCGAGCGUUGUUCGGAUUUACUGGGCGUAAAGAGUGCGUAGGCGGUGCUCCAAGUCUGGUGUGAAAUCUCCCGGCUUAACCGGGAGGGUGCGCCGGAAACUGGGGUGCUGGAGUGUGGGAGAGGUAAGCGGAAUUCCUGGUGUAGCGGUGAAAUGCGUAGAUAUCAGGAGGAACACCUGUGGUGUAGACAGCUUGCUGGACCAUUUCUGACACUGAGACACGAAAGCGUGGGUAGCAAACAGG